This 460-nucleotide ribosomal RNA is filed under the name uncultured bacterium. RNAcentral describes it as "partial 16S ribosomal RNA". It matches the Rfam family "Bacterial small subunit ribosomal RNA", at positions 338 to 795 of the family's 1533-position model. The record is from RNAcentral.
CCUACGGGAGGCAGCAGUGAGGAAUAUUGGUCAAUGGACGAGAGUCUGAACCAGCCAAGUAGCGUGAAGGAUGACUGCCCUAUGGGUUGUAAACUUCUUUUAUAUGGGAAUAAAACGUUCCACGUGUGGGAUUUUGUAUGUACCAUAUGAAUAAGGAUCGGCUAACUCCGUGCCAGCAGCCGCGGUAAUACGGAGGAUCCGAGCGUUAUCCGGAUUUAUUGGGUUUAAAGGGAGCGUAGGUGGAUUGUUAAGUAAGUUGUGAAAGUUUGCGGCUCAACCGUAAAAUUGCAGUUGAAACUGGCAGUCUUGAGUACAGUAGAGGUGGGCGGAAGUCGUGGUGUAGCGGUGAAAUGCUUAGAUAUCACGAAGAACUCCGAUUGCGAAGGCAGUUCACUGGACUGCAACUGACACUGAGGCUCGAAAGUGUGGGUAUCAAACAGGAUUAGAUACCCCUGUAGUC